This 369-nucleotide RNase P RNA is filed under the name Pseudomonadota bacterium. RNAcentral describes it as "Proteobacteria bacterium (soil metagenome) RNase P RNA component class A". It matches the Rfam family "Bacterial RNase P class A". Rfam says of the family: Ribonuclease P (RNase P) is a ubiquitous endoribonuclease, found in archaea, bacteria and eukarya as well as chloroplasts and mitochondria. Its best characterised activity is the generation of mature 5'-ends of tRNAs by cleaving the 5'-leader elements of precursor-tRNAs. Lineage: Bacteria; Pseudomonadati; Pseudomonadota. The record is from RNAcentral.
GGAGUCGGCCGGACAGUCGCUGUGCUCUCGCCUUCGGGCGAGGAGCGUGGAGGAAAGUCCGGGCUCCGCAGGGCAGGGUGCCAGGUAACGCCUGGGCGGCGCGAGCCGACGGAAAGUGCCACAGAAAAUAUACCGCCGAUGUGCGCACGCAAGUGCUGCACAGGUAAGGGUGAAAAGGUGCGGUAAGAGCGCACCGCGCGACCGGCAACGGUUCGUGGCAGGGCAAACCCCACUCGGAGCAAGGCCAAAUAGGGGAACGAUUACGCGGCCCGCGUAGUUCCCGGGUAGGCCGCUUGAGGUGAACGGUGACGUUCAUCCCAGAUGAAUGACUGUUCUCGACAGAACCCGGCUUACAGGCCGACUCCUUCU